CCUACGGGAUGCACCAGUGGGGAAUUUUCCGCAAUGGGCGAAAGCCUGACGGAGCAACGCCGCGUGGAGGUAGAAGGCCCACGGGUCGUGAACUUCUUUUCCCGGAGAAGAAGCAAUGACGGUAUCUGAGGAAUAAGCAUCGGCUAACUCUGUGCCAGCAGCCGCGGUAAUACAGAGGACGCAAGCGUUAUCCGGAAUGAUUGGGCGUAAAGCGUCUGUAGGUGGCUUUUUAAGUCCGCCGUCAAAUCCCAGGGCUCAACCCUGGACAGGCGGUGGAAACUACCAAGCUGGAGUACGGUAGGGGCAGAGGGAAUUUCCGGUGGAGCGGUGAAAUGCGUAGAGAUCGGAAAGAACACCAACGGCGAAAGCUCUCUGCUGGGCCGACACUGACACUGAGAGACGAAAGCUAGGGGAGCGAAUGGGAUUAGAUACCCUAGUAGUC
Molecule: ribosomal RNA, 442 nt
Filed under: uncultured bacterium
Lineage: Bacteria
Description: bacterial SSU rRNA
Rfam family: Bacterial small subunit ribosomal RNA
Source: RNAcentral